CAGCAGCCGCGGGAAUACGAAGGGGGCUAGCGUUGCUCGGAAUGACUGGGCGUAAAGCGUGCGUAGGCGGCUUUUUAAGUCGGAUGUGAAAUCCCUGAGCUUAACUUAGGAAUUGCAUUCGAUACUGGGAAGCUAGAGUAUGGGAGAGGAUGGUAGAAUUCCAGGUGUAGCGGUGAAAUGCGUAGAGAUCUGGAGGAAUACCGAUGGCGAAGGCAGCCAUCUGGCCUAAUACUGACGCUGAGGUACGAAAGCAUGGGGAGCAAACAGGAUUAGAUACCCCCGUAGUCCCUGUCUCUUAUAC
RNAcentral lists this ribosomal RNA (301 nucleotides) under uncultured bacterium. RNAcentral describes it as "partial 16S ribosomal RNA". It matches the Rfam family "Bacterial small subunit ribosomal RNA", at positions 509 to 807 of the family's 1533-position model. The record is from RNAcentral.